Molecule: long non-coding RNA, 288 nt
Filed under: Setaria viridis
Lineage: Eukaryota; Viridiplantae; Streptophyta; Magnoliopsida; Poales; Poaceae
Description: long non-coding RNA (SVIR_LNC002721)
Source: RNAcentral
AAUUUAGUGAUAAACCUCCAUGAUAUAAAAACCCAUGUGGCAUCCAAGGAUCAAAAUAAGAACAUGAAGGAUAACCAAACAUAUCUAAGGAUGAAUCCAAGACAUAGGCAUAUUUGACAUUUAUAAACAAAAUGGAUGAUGCAAUGACCAAUAAUUUUGAUGAUUUGGUGCAAACCUCAUAUUUGAAGACUAUCUCUCAAACUUUCUCUUCUCCUUCAACUGUGUUGCACCCUUUGCUUGAACAUCAACCUUAUUUUGAAUUUGAAUGCUUCCUUUAGGAACCCUUAC